This is a long non-coding RNA of Centruroides sculpturatus (bark scorpion), 249 nucleotides long. RefSeq lists it as uncharacterized. The record is from RefSeq and is a predicted model, not a curated record. Lineage: Eukaryota; Metazoa; Arthropoda; Arachnida; Scorpiones; Buthidae. The transcript has 2 exons.
UAAAUAAUAGUAAUAAAUUAAUAUAAAACAGAUGUAUUAAUAAUUCAUUUAAUUUUCAGCACCUGUUUUACAUUUACCUGUGAAUUUAACUAAAAGACCAACAUUUUUACCAGAUCCAAAAGAUGGAUCAUUGUAUAUUUAUGGAACAGGAGAAGGGCGAGAUUCACUUAAGAAGCUGCCAUUCACAAUUUCAGAAUUAGUAGCUGCUUCUCCAUUUCGAGGUAGUGAUGGUAUACUUUAUACUGGUAA